RNAcentral lists this ribosomal RNA (359 nucleotides) under uncultured Gloeocapsa sp. RNAcentral's name for it is "bacterial SSU rRNA". It matches the Rfam family "Bacterial small subunit ribosomal RNA", at positions 524 to 881 of the family's 1533-position model. The record is from RNAcentral. Lineage: Bacteria; Bacillati; Cyanobacteriota; Cyanophyceae; Chroococcidiopsidales; Chroococcidiopsidaceae.
UACGGAGGAUGCAAGCGUUAUCCGGAAUGAUUGGGCGUAAAGCGUCCGCAGGUGGCAAUACAAGUCUGCUGUCAAAGGUCAAGGCUCAACUUUGGACAGGCAGUGGAAACUGUAUAGCUAGAGUAUGGUGGGGGCAGAGGGAAUUCCCAGUGUAGCGGUGAAAUGCGUAGAGAUUGGGAAGAACACCAGUGGCGAAAGCGCUCUGCUAGGCCAUAACUGACACUCAGGGACGAAAGCUAGGGGAGCGAAUGGGAUUAGAUACCCCAGUAGUCCUAGCCGUAAACGAUGGAUACUAGGUGUAGCUUGUAUCGACCCAAGCUGUGCCGUAGCUAACGCGUUAAGUAUCCCGCCUGGGGAGU